AGGAAUUUAGGUUAAGCAAAACUUUAAAUUUUCAAAAUUUAAAAUGAAAGAUAGAUUUUUCAGUUUCUA
This 69-nucleotide transfer RNA is filed under the name Bipalium adventitium. RNAcentral's name for it is "tRNA-Trp". The record is from RNAcentral. Lineage: Eukaryota; Metazoa; Platyhelminthes; Tricladida; Geoplanidae.